CCUACGGGAGGCAGCAGUAGGGAAUAUUGGUCAAUGGGCGAGAGCCUGAACCAGCCAUGCCGCGUGCAGGAAGAAGGCCCUCUGGGUUGUAAACUGCUUUUGACAGGGGCCAAAAUACUCAUGCGUGAGGAAUUGAGAGUACCUGUAGAAUAAGCACCGGCUAACUCCGUGCCAGCAGCCGCGGUAAUACGGAGGGUGCAAGCGUUGUCCGGAUUUAUUGGGUUUAAAGGGUGCGUAGGUGGCCUUAUAAGUCAGUGGUGAAAGCCUGCAGCUUAACUGUAGGACUGCCAUUGAUACUGUAGGGCUUGAGUACUGAUGAGGUAGGCGGAAUUGAUAGUGUAGCGGUGAAAUGCAUAGAUAUUAUCAAGAACACCGAUUGCGAAGGCAGCUUACUAAGGAGUUACUGACACUGAGGCACGAAAGCGUGGGGAGUACAACAGAUAGUAUACCUACGUAGUACACGACCACUAACGAAUAGUAUUACUACGUAUAGUA
This 495-nucleotide ribosomal RNA is filed under the name uncultured bacterium. Its description in RNAcentral is "bacterial SSU rRNA". It matches the Rfam family "Bacterial small subunit ribosomal RNA", at positions 338 to 830 of the family's 1533-position model. The record is from RNAcentral.